AACGAACGCUGGCGGCAUGCCUAACACAUGCAAGUCGAACGAGACCUUCGGGUCUAGUGGCGCACGGGUGCGUAACGCGUGGGAACCUGCCCUUAGGUUCGGAAUAACUCCCCGAAAGGGGUGCUAAUACCGGAUAAUGUCUUCGGACCAAAGAUUUAUCGCCUUUGGAUGGGCCCGCGUUGGAUUAGCUAGUUGGUAGGGUAAAAGCCUACCAAGGCGACGAUCCAUAGCUGGUCUGAGAGGAUGAUCAGCCACACUGGGACUGAGACACGGCCCAGACUCCUACGGGAGGCAGCAAUGGGGAAUAUUGGACAAUGGGCGAAAGCCUGAUCCAGCAAGGCCGCGUAAGUGAUGAAGGCCUUAGGGUUGUAAAGCUCUUUUACCCGGGAUGAUAAUGACAGUACCGGGAGAAUAAGCUCCGGCUAACUCCGUG
Molecule: ribosomal RNA, 433 nt
Filed under: uncultured bacterium
Lineage: Bacteria
Description: partial 16S ribosomal RNA
Rfam family: Bacterial small subunit ribosomal RNA
Source: RNAcentral